This 512-nucleotide ribosomal RNA is filed under the name uncultured bacterium. RNAcentral describes it as "partial 16S ribosomal RNA". It matches the Rfam family "Bacterial small subunit ribosomal RNA", at positions 28 to 523 of the family's 1533-position model. The record is from RNAcentral.
GACGAACGCUGGCGGCGUGCCUAAUACAUGCAAGUCGAGCGGAUUGAUGGGAGCUUGCUCCCUGAUAUCAGCGGCGGACGGGGGAGUAACACGUGGGCAACCUGCCUAUAAGACUGGAAUAACUUCGGGAAACCGGAGCUAAUACCGGAUAAUCCCUUUCCUCUCAUGAGGAAAGGCUGAAAGAUGGUUUACGCUAUCACUUAUAGAUGGGCCAGCGGCGCAUUAGCUAGUUGGUGAGGUAACGGCUCACCAAGGCAACGAUGCGUAGCCGACCUGAGAGGGUGAUCGGCCACACUGGGACUGUGACACGGCCCAGACUCCUACGGGAGGCAGCAGUAGGGAAUCUUCCGCAAUGGACGAAAGUCUGACGGAGCAACGCCGCGUGAGUGAUGAAGGUUUUCGGAUCGUAAAACUCUGUUGUCAGGGAAGAACAAGUACGAGAGUAACUGCUCGUACCUUGACGGUACCUAACCAGAAAGCCACGGCUAACUACGUGCCAGCAGCCGCGGUAA